RNAcentral lists this ribosomal RNA (501 nucleotides) under Escherichia coli. RNAcentral describes it as "bacterial SSU rRNA". It matches the Rfam family "Bacterial small subunit ribosomal RNA", at positions 1025 to 1526 of the family's 1533-position model. RNAcentral also lists the same sequence under 1 other name. The record is from RNAcentral. Lineage: Bacteria; Pseudomonadati; Pseudomonadota; Gammaproteobacteria; Enterobacterales; Enterobacteriaceae.
AACCGUGAGACAGGUGCUGCAUGGCUGUCGUCAGCUCGUGUUGUGAAAUGUUGGGUUAAGUCCCGCAACGAGCGCAACCCUUAUCCUUUGUUGCCAGCGGUCCGGCCGGGAACUCAAAGGAGACUGCCAGUGAUAAACUGGAGGAAGGUGGGGAUGACGUCAAGUCAUCAUGGCCCUUACGACCAGGGCUACACACGUGCUACAAUGGCGCAUACAAAGAGAAGCGACCUCGCGAGAGCAAGCGGACCUCAUAAAGUGCGUCGUAGUCCGGAUUGGAGUCUGCAACUCGACUCCAUGAAGUCGGAAUCGCUAGUAAUCGUGGAUCAGAAUGCCACGGUGAAUACGUUCCCGGGCCUUGUACACACCGCCCGUCACACCAUGGGAGUGGGUUGCAAAAGAAGUAGGUAGCUUAACCUUCGGGAGGGCGCUUACCACUUUGUGAUUCAUGACUGGGGUGAAGUCGUAACAAGGUAACCGUAGGGGAACCUGCGGUUGGAUCAC